AGCAGCCGCGGUAACUCCAGCUCCAAUAGCGUAUAUUAAAGUUGUUGCAGUUAAAAAGCUCGUAGUUGAAUUUCGGGGUCAGCAAGUUGGUCGUGCCAACGGUAUGUACUGGCUUCGCUGAUUCCUCCUUCUUGUAGAACUGUAAUGCCAUUAAUUUGGUGUUGCAGGGAAACAGGACUGUUACUUUGAAAAGAUUAGAGUGUUUAAAGCAGGCUUACGCUUGAAUACAUUAGCAUGGAAUAAUGAAAUAGGACGUUGAUCCUAUUUUGUUGGUUUCUAGGAUUGACGUAAUGAUUAAUAGGGAUAGUUGGGGGCAUUAGUAUUCAAUUGUCAGAGGUGAAAUUCUUGGAUUUAUUGAAGACUAACUACUGCGAAAGCAUUUGCCAAGGAUGUUUUCAUUAAUCAAGAACGAAAGUUAGGGGAUCGAAGACGAUCAGAUACCGUCGUAGU
This 450-nucleotide ribosomal RNA is filed under the name uncultured Glomus. Its description in RNAcentral is "SSU rRNA". It matches the Rfam family "Eukaryotic small subunit ribosomal RNA", at positions 569 to 1024 of the family's 1831-position model. Lineage: Eukaryota; Fungi; Glomeromycota; Glomeromycetes; Glomerales; Glomeraceae. The record is from RNAcentral.